This 490-nucleotide ribosomal RNA is filed under the name uncultured bacterium. RNAcentral describes it as "partial 16S ribosomal RNA". It matches the Rfam family "Bacterial small subunit ribosomal RNA", at positions 899 to 1397 of the family's 1533-position model. The record is from RNAcentral.
ACUCAAAUGAAUUGACGGGAGUCUACACAAGCGGUGGAGCAUGUGGUUUAAUUCGAUAAUACGCGCAGAACCUUACCAACUCUUGCAAAUUAGAUUAAAAAAUUUAAUUUAAUCUAAACAGGCGUUGCAUGGCUGUCGUCAGCUCGUGUUGUGAAAUGUUUGGUUAAAUCCUUUAACGAGCGCAACCCCUAUUAUUAGUUGCUAAUUUAUUUAAAUAAAUAAAAGCACUCUAAUAAAAAUGUCAAUGAUAGGUUGAAGGAAGGUAGGGAUGACGUCAAGUCUUCAUGGCCCUUAUGAGUUGGGCUACACACGUGCUACAAUGAUAAUUACAAUGAGAGGCAAUAAUGAUUUAAAAUUGGAGCAAAUCUUUAAAAAUUAUCUUAGUUCGGAUUAUGGGCUGAAACUCGCCCAUAUGAAGCUGGAAUCGCUAGUAAUCGCAGAACAGCAUGCUGCGGUGAAUAUGUUACUAGACUUUGUACACACCGCCCGU